Molecule: non-coding RNA, 243 nt
Organism: Chrysemys picta bellii (western painted turtle)
Lineage: Eukaryota; Metazoa; Chordata; Testudines; Emydidae
Source: the annotation of a RefSeq genome assembly
AUGACCCCCAGCCUGGCCAUCGCCUUCCUCCUGCUGCUCCCAGCGCGUGUCUAUGCCCAAACCCAGCUAGUCCAAUCCAGCCCGGGAGCGUCGAAGCCCGGAGAGACCCUCACCUUGUCCUGCACCGGGAAAGGACUGAAGUGGCUGGGACAGGGAUAUUACAGCAAUUCCACCUGGUACACAAACUACGGCUCAUCUUUCCAGAGCCAAAUCACCAUCUCCCCUGAUUCCUCCAAGAACCAG